This 371-nucleotide unclassified non-coding RNA is filed under the name Hevea brasiliensis (rubber tree). The record is from RNAcentral. Lineage: Eukaryota; Viridiplantae; Streptophyta; Magnoliopsida; Malpighiales; Euphorbiaceae.
AGAGAAGCAAUUGCUCUAGGCCGUGGCUGGGCUUCAUAAGCAAGCCUGACUGAGCUCUCUUUAGUAUUAUACUCAUUGUCCGUUCCAUGCCCAAGCUGACCAUACUGUGGAAGGCCUGCAGUUAGUAUAGAAGCUCCUUCAACAGAUGAUAACCAGACAGUAAAAUCAGCUCCACAGGCAGUUUUCUUGACAUCAGACACGAGACAGCGGACAGGAGAUGACUCAAUUUCAUUUCUUACUGAACCAGAACCCAGCUGUCCAUGUUUAUUCCAACCAAAUGCAAGGGAUUGACCAUCUUCUGUGGCCACUGCUGUGUGGCUCCUCCCUGAUCCAGCACUAAUAAUUUUGUACUUCGAAAGUUCAGAAACAAU